UACAACUUCCAGUCUUCAUUUGUUAUUAAUAAAAUUUUAAAAUAAUUUACAAUUUAUUAUUUUAGUAAAAUUACAUCUGGAUAUAAAUAACGUUAAAUAAGACAAGAUGCAUUGUUUUUUAUAAGCAGAGAAGUAUUAUUAUUUUCUCAUUAUAUCAACUUGACAUUCUAAUAAAAUCCAAAUAGAGUGGCAUUUUCCAAGCCAUUAACUUGUGAUGAAGAAAUUGAUUUUAUUUUCCUCACAAGCUUGUUUAACAUAUCUGGAUCAGACUCGAAAAAGCUACCAGCAACGCUCACCACACCUGGAUUCUGGCUACUGAGUACUGAGAAAAUGGUAGCGGACUCAUCGCCAGCAUUCAAGCAGAAGUGAAGCAAACCCCGAGGAAGCACAAACACAUCUCCUUCCUUGAGAAUCUUCUGGAACUGUUGGUUUUUGGUGUCGACAAAUCCAGCAAUCACUACGCCUGCACUGACAAAGAACAGCUCAGAGGCUCUUGGGUGGUAUAGCGGCAAUACUAAACCAUCCACAUCAAGGUCUAUCCUGGAAAUUGAGAGACCGAGGGUGUUCAGGCCAGGGAAAUCUGCGGCAGUGACAAUGGUUGUUGCGGAACGCAGAAAUUUGUUCUUGUCACCAGGGCGACUCAGUUUUGAUGACUUGAAAUCUGAAGGAGUGAUACUGUUAGGGUCCUUGCAAGGCAAACCAUUGAUGAAGAUAGACUGCUUGCUUGUGGGAGCUGCUGGACAAGUAUCCUGGAGAUUAUCGUAGUCUGCCAAGCAGAUCUGAAUGCAAGAACACAUGAUCACGCAAACGAGAAUGGAGGAAUUCAUCUUGGGUUGUUCUUUUUGUGAAGUAAUGGAGUGUUUUUGUUUCUUGUAUGUAUGUAAUGUUGCUCUUGCGAAGUAACGAGUGUUUUCGUUCAUUAUUUGUAUGUGAAAUAUAUGUCUAGAGGUUGCAUGAAAUAAAAGUCAUUUUUGAGGCUUGGAGUUCACUGCUAGAUUUCAAAUAGAUUAUCUUGAAAGCAGAAUUUAAG
This 1030-nucleotide unclassified non-coding RNA is filed under the name Hevea brasiliensis (rubber tree). Lineage: Eukaryota; Viridiplantae; Streptophyta; Magnoliopsida; Malpighiales; Euphorbiaceae. The record is from RNAcentral.